Molecule: long non-coding RNA, 271 nt
Organism: Brienomyrus brachyistius
Lineage: Eukaryota; Metazoa; Chordata; Actinopteri; Osteoglossiformes; Mormyridae
Exons: 3
Source: RefSeq, a predicted model, not a curated record
GUGCGAUCUGUGAGGUGGAUGUGUGGGCUGUGAGGUGGAUGUGCGAUCUGUGAGGUGGAUGUGUGGGCUGUGAGGUGGAUGUGCGAUCUGUGAGGUGGAUGUGUGGGCUGUGAGGUGGAUGUGCGAUCUGUGAGGUGGAUGUGUGGGCUGUGAGGUGGAUGUGCGAUCUGUGAGGUGGAUGUGCGAUCUGGGAGGUGGAUGUGUGGGCUGUGAGGUGGAUGUGCGAUCUGGGAGGUGGAUGUGCGAUCUGUGCAGUGGAUGUGCGAUCUUU